This is a non-coding RNA of Mycena rebaudengoi, 92 nucleotides long. NCBI's taxonomy places the organism in Eukaryota, Fungi, Basidiomycota, Agaricomycetes, Agaricales, Mycenaceae. The record is from the annotation of a GenBank genome assembly.
GACCUGGUGGUGCAGUGGUAACACACUUGCUUAAAAUCAGUCCAACACUUUCAGCUGUGCAAGAGUCCCCUGUUCAACUCAAGGCUGGGUCA